Long non-coding RNA from Oxyura jamaicensis (ruddy duck), 516 nucleotides. RefSeq lists it as uncharacterized. Lineage: Eukaryota; Metazoa; Chordata; Aves; Anseriformes; Anatidae. The record is from RefSeq and is a predicted model, not a curated record. The transcript is spliced from 2 exons.
CCUGCAAUUAAAAAGGAAGAAAGCAGUGUACCCUCCUCCUUUCCAAGUUCAGUAUCAUCAAGCUUUGUAUCAAAGCUAUCUCUUACACUAAAUUGUUUUACCAGAAGGAGAUCCGGUGGAUGGGAUUGUUGUCAGUGUCCUCAAUAGGAAUCACUUCAAAGGGUUCGUCUUGCCUCUGUUCAGGGUCUUCUUGGUGCUGAUUUGAGGAGAACGCACAAUGAUAGAGGAAACCUGAGUCAUAUCCACCCUGAAGAGAAGGGCCAUAAAGAAGUGUUGACAAAAGAACACUGAUGCAGCUGACCAGGGCUGUACAUACUUCAGGGUAUCAUACCUGGGCAUACCAAAUGGGCUGCCCACUGUCAUGAACUUUUGACAUGAAAUUCAGACUGACGUUCCUGCCAACGUGAAGUUCAUUCAUAGGCUCCACCUCCAAUAACCCUGUGUCAUCCACAGAAUCAGCAGCAUCUAUUGUCUCAAAAUUCCAUACCUUCAUGGAAUGAAAACAAAAAAUGAGAA